RNAcentral lists this long non-coding RNA (574 nucleotides) under Megachile rotundata (alfalfa leafcutting bee). RNAcentral describes it as "uncharacterized LOC105662259, transcript variant X1". Lineage: Eukaryota; Metazoa; Arthropoda; Insecta; Hymenoptera; Megachilidae. The record is from RNAcentral.
AGUAGCAAAUCCCGAAGGAAGCAUUCUCUGGUGAAAAUUAAAAACGAACACUUUGAAAAGGUCAUCAUGGGUAAUAUCACAAUGCAAUGAUGUAUUAAAUACGUAAAAAAAUAAAACAUCUGAACGAAUCUUCGUUUAAAACGAUUAAAUAUCGAGUUACAAUGUCUACGAAUUAAAUAACGUGGUUUGAUCAAUGAAACACGUCCGUUGGGUGUUCCGGAAGUUGCGGAAGCACUUUUUCUUGGUUCCGGUGAUGCAACCCCUUUUUUCGUCAACGUAACUCUACAAAUAAAAGAUUCAAUAGCGUUGCUGGUUUUAGAAGUACUAUACCUCCCAAUGCCCAACAAUUUCUGUUUGGUUUCCGAUUUCGAUAGCGCUGCAAUAUUAGAAUUAGCUGGCGAAGGAAUAUAAAAACUACUACGUCGAAUCAUGAUUUAUAAGGGCUGAUCACAGAAGUUGGCGAUAUGGCUGCCGGUGCUGAUUUCACGGACACACUAUCCUGAUCUAAUGCUAAAACAAUCGGAUUUUAACCAACCUAACCUAACUUAUAACAAAAUGUUACAAAAAAAUGUCU